This is a non-coding RNA of Pungitius pungitius (ninespine stickleback), 399 nucleotides long. Lineage: Eukaryota; Metazoa; Chordata; Actinopteri; Perciformes; Gasterosteidae. The record is from the annotation of a RefSeq genome assembly.
AUGGAUAUGAUCCUCAAUAAACCAGGCCUCUUCAGAUGGUUCAUCUCCUUGCUGUGGACUGCAGGUCUGACAGGCGGCAGCGACGUCGUCCAGACCUCGAUGCUCUGGGAAGUCGAGGGUGUCGAUGCAACGAUGGACUGCAGCCACACCAAGGGGGCUGAGUUCUUCCAGAUGUACUGGUACCGACAGCUGCCGGGAGAAACCAUGAAGCAGAUUGUGUACACGUCCACCUCCAGCACGGUUCACGAUUUUGGAGAUUUCAGCAAAGACAAAUUUUCCGCCACCAAGCCGAAUGUCACCAGCGGGACGCUGACGGUGAAGAAGCUGCAGCCGGGAGACAAAGGCUGGUACUUCUGUGCUGUGAGUGAACACAGUGACGCAGGGAACCUCAACGGCUGA